Piliocolobus tephrosceles (Ugandan red Colobus) is the source of this 4724-nucleotide RNA transcript. It is a transcript of the gene named killer cell lectin like receptor F1, with no coding region annotated. NCBI's taxonomy places the organism in Eukaryota, Metazoa, Chordata, Mammalia, Primates, Cercopithecidae. The record is from RefSeq and is a predicted model, not a curated record. The transcript has 5 exons.
GUGAAAGGACGAUUUGAGGAGCAUCUCUGAUUAGCAGCAGGUUUAUUAUUCUUUCCUCAUUUCAUGUUAUACCUAGUAAAACAAACCAUACUUGUAUAUACACACAUUCACUCACACUGAAGAUGCAAGAUGAAGAAAGAUACAUGACAUUGAAUGUACAGUCAAAGAAAAGGAGUUCUACCCAAACAGCUCAACUUACAUUUAAAGAUUAUUCAGUGGUGUUGCACUGGUAUAAAAUCUUACUGGGAAUAUCUGGAACCAUUAAUGGUAUUCUGGCUUUGACUUUGAUCUCCCUGAUCCUAUUGGUUUCUCAGGGAGUAUUGCUAAAAUGCCAAAAAGGAAGUCAUUCAAAUACCGCCGAGCAUGAGGAUACUGGAGACCUAAAAAUGAAUAACGGCACAAAAAGAAAUACAAGUAAUAAGGACCUUUGUGUUUUGAGAUCUGCAGACCAGACAGGCUUUUAUACAGAAAAACCUAAGACAAUCAAACUACGUAUGGAUGGGGCUUAACUUUACUUCAUUGAAAAUGACAUGGACUUGGGUGGAUGGUUCUCCACUAGAUCCAAAGAUAUUCUUCAUAAAAGGACCAGCUAAAGAAAACAGCUGUGCUGCCAUUAAGGAAAACAAAAUUUACUCUGAAACCUGCAGCAGUGUUUUCAAAUGGAUUUGUCAGUAUUAAGAGUUUGACAAAGUUCACAGUGAAAUAGUCAGUGAUCACUAUAUUUGGCCUAUUGGUUUCUAAUAUUAAUCUCCAGGUGUAAGAUUUUAAAGUGCAAUUAAAUGCCAAAAUCUCUCUUCUCCCUCCGUCAUUGACACUGGUCUAGCCUCAGAGUAACCCGUUAACAAACUAAAAUGUACCCUUCAAAAUUUUUACCCGAUAGUAUAAACCAAUGUGACUUCAUGUGAUCAUAUCCAGGAUUUUUAUUCAUUGUUUAUUUUAUGCCAAAUGUGAUCAAAUUAUGCCUGCUUUUCUGUAUCUUGCGUUUUAAAUUCUUAAUAAUGUCCUAAGCAAAAUUUCUUAUUUCUAAGGGUUGAAAUACAAUGUGGAUUUAUACAUUUUUUACCCUUUUAUCAAAGAGAAUUAAGUUUAUUUCCAGGCUUUUGAUACUCUGCACUCAGCUACAAUAAACAUCCUGAAUGUUUUCUUAAAUAGGAACACCUUUAUUUCUAUGAUACAAGCCCUAAAAGUAGAAUUUCUAGGUAAAAGUGUUAAAUGUGCUGUUUUAUAUUUUGUACAAUUUUUAUGUUUUGCACUUUUGUUUCCAAAUUUGGAAGCUUUCAAACUUAUAAGAAGAUAUUAGGUGCAGAAAAAGAACAUACUGCUUUUCUUGAACCUCUUGAGAAUUACUUGCCAAAUUGAUGCAUUUUAUUAUAACAUUUCAUUUGUUAUUGGAUACUUUUUGUGUAUUUUCUUCCAAAAAAGGGGCUUUCUCCUACAUAACCACAAUAAAAUUAUGAAAAUCAGCAAACUUACACUAACAUAGAGCUAUCAUCUAAUUCCCAAAUUUCUUUCAAGGUUUGCUAUUUGUCAAAAUAAUGUUUUUAGAGUAAAAGCAUCCAGCUCAGAAUCAAUCUCUACAUCUGAUGACUAUUAUCUCUUUAGCCUCCUUCAAUAUGGAAGAGUGCAUGAGUCUUCCUUGACAUUCAUGACCUUGACACUUUUGAAUACUACACGUUGAUUAUUUCGUAAAAUGUUCUUCAACUGAAAUAUUCUGAUUGUUUCUCAUGGUUAGGUUCAAGUUUUAUCUUCUUGGCAGAAAUGGCAUAGAAGUGAUGUAGUGAGGCUUGGUCUCUGAAUCCUUUCAGGUGGUACACAGUUUUAUUUGUUCCAUUAUUGAUUAUAUUUAUUUCAUUCACAUGAUUGUUGUAAUUUCUGCUUGAAUUCACUGUAAAGUUAUUAUUUUCUCGUUGUAAUUAAUGCAUAUUUUGGGGAAGUGACUGAGAUGGACUUAAUAUCCCCUUCAGCUUGGGGCUAAAUUCUUCUUUUUUUUAAUACUUUCAGUUCUGGGGUACAUGUGCAGAAUGUGCAGGUUUGUUACACGUGCCAUGGUGGUUUGCUGCACCCAUCAACCUGUCAUCUACAUUAGUUAUUUCUCCUAAUGCUAGCCCUCCGGAUAACAAGAACUCAGAAAUAAUGUACAGAGUUAUGAUCUAAUAACAGGUGUAUUCUAGCUUUUUUUCCCCAGAAACUUAACUUCUUUUCUACAUUCAUUAUACAGAAAUACCAGAUUUUAAAGCCUCUUGAGGCUGGAAAGCCAAACCAAGACAAACUUUAGAUUUUAUCUAUAGUAUUAAGGUCUUCGGAAGUUCUAGGAAGUAACAGUUUUUAUUGACUCAUUGUAAGGCUGUGAACCUUCAAAGUUAAGCAUGUUAUGUAUAUUGUUAAAUGUGACAUUUUAGUCAAAGCCUUAGUAAUGUAACCAAUGUUUUUUAAAUUGUAUUCUGCUAUUAAGAGAGAGCAGAAUUUUAUUGGACUUAUGGAAAUAACUUUAAGUAAAUAACCAUAUUGUCAUAAGAAUACUAAAAAGUACAUUCGAAAUUUUGAAAGAAUCAAGGAGGAAAAAUACCAAAUGGUUUUAUCUUUUUUCACAAAAGUAUAUUUUAUCAAAUUACCACAAAUUAUAGAUCGCUCAAGAGAGAAAAUGUCUUUAUACCUGAAAGACAAAACGUUUGAGUAAAGGACCAACAACGUUUUAAAUAAACGUCAUAAAAACAUUAUCAGUUAUUUAAUUUUAUGUAAUCAAUUUUAUUUCUGCUUGAUCUUCAUUAGUAAUUUUAUAAAUCUACUAUUUAUUUUAUUAGAGUUUUGGACAUUUUUAUUUAGUCUAUUAAUCUUAAAUGUAUCAGAAACCUGUAUCUAUGAGUACUUGUUGGGGUCUUUAAUGAAUCUGGUUAUGAAUGUUUUUAGAGAAGAAUUUAAAACUGUAGAAGAAAACAAUUAGAAUAGUCAUGGUUAAAAACCUGAGGAAAGUUUAUAAUUGACAAGAAAAUUAAGUUCCUUGUAUUAUAGAUGGCAUUUAAAAAUAACAGCCAGAAUUAUGACUGCUAGAAUAUUAGGUAUUCAUGAAUUUACAUAAUUUUUGAAAAAUAUUUAUAACAAUAAUAUAUUUAUAAAUGUCACUAAAAGAUGAUCUAGUAUUACUUAUUGUUUGAUAAUGUUUUCUAUAUGAUUUAUCUAAUAAGCAUAAUUAUUUAACAUUUCUACAAGAUGAGAGUUAUCUUUUAAGGCUUUUCAGAGACCCACCUGGAGAAUCCCAAACGUGAUUUUAGGUGAAAAAGAUUUAAUUUAUGAUUCCAUUUUGAGGAAGCUUAUUAAAGAUGUUAAAAGGCUCAAAACACUUGAUCAGAGAGUGGGGCUUCAAGAUGGCUGAGUACAGGUAUCUGGCACCCGCCAGCUCCACAAAGAAGCAAAAUAUCAAACAGAUAAUCACACUUUGAAGAGAGCAUCUAAGAGAGAACACUGUAGUUCAAUAGCAAAUUGAUGGGAAACACCUAAGGUAAUGAAGAAGAGGCAGUCUUCCCGGCCAAGAUUGGCUGGGAAACCAGAGAGACUCUCCAGUGCAGAGAAGGAGUAAGUGAGAGAUCCCCAGUAUCCACGUUCCCAAUAUUAGACUCCUGGAAUCUUUGCCAUGGGAGAAACCAGUGAUGGUUGCCGACCCUGAGACUAAUAUAGAGAGCUCUCUGGAGCUUCAGAUAUUGCUCCAGAGACAGAAUCCAGUCUAGGUCCCGCGUAUUAACAGAGACCUAAGCAGCUGCAGUAUAGCAUAAUUAUGAGAGCUCAACUCCACCAGACUGCAUCUCACCCAUGGGCCUAACAGCCCCUCAAUCUCCACAUCCCUGAAACCCCACUGACACUCCCUCCCUACAUCCAGCUGAAGGGCUGCAGUGGCACAACACUGGGUGCCCUGCAGCACAGCAGGUCCUCAACACUCUAGCACACAGUGUCCUACACACCAAGGAAUUGCUGGCACAGUGCACUGGGGUGGCUGCCCUAAGACAAAGAGAGCCAAAAUGCAUCUCACCAGAGCCUGAUUCUCUCCUGGCUAGGGUUACUGCCAUAACACUCACCCUGUCCUGCUAAGCAACAGGGCUGCUGCACAUUCGCAUUUGCCCUGAAGACUGGAUCUCCCCAUUCCUGCUCUUGUUGCUUCCACUACGAGGGAUCUGAAAUGUACAUUACUCAGCCUCUUGUCUCCAGCUGCUACCACUGACAGCAACCCUGAACCCCCCAGCAAUAGGGCUGAAAUGCACUUAUAUGUGCCCUGAGGGCAAAGUUCCUCCUCCAACCUCUGCCACUGUUGCCAUCAAUCAAGUACUUAGCCAGGGACCUGGGAAUAACCUUGUCCCUACUAACAAUAGCCUGUACCCAUGCACAGCAACAGGAGGCCUGAGGAAUGGGCUGCCUGGCCUGGCAUUGCCCUGCUCAGUGCCUGAGCAUACCAUUCAGGGGCCUGUGAAUCAUUACAACCUGGUCAUCAUUCAUUCUUGGUUCCUGUACACUCCUCUGGCAGCCCGAGGAUGGAACUGCCCAGCCUGCCACUACCACCAUAGCUGGCACCCACUCACAUGUACUUCUUGGGGUCCUGGGGAAUCGCCCACCAGCUUAUUGCAGCCAUUUAUUUUUUAAUUAUUAUUAUUAUUUUUUUGAGACAGAGUUUGGCCCUUGUUGCCCAGGCUGGAGUGCAAUGAUUUGAUCUCGGGUCACUGCAACCUCUGCCUCCUGGG